Non-coding RNA from Cinara cedri, 830 nucleotides. NCBI's taxonomy places the organism in Eukaryota, Metazoa, Arthropoda, Insecta, Hemiptera, Aphididae. The record is from the annotation of a GenBank genome assembly.
AAUAAUAAUUAUAAAGUUUAUGUCCAAUGUUAUGACGGAUGUUGUUAUACUAAAUAGUAACAAUUAUCAUAAAUACUAGUAUUUAUAAUCAAUGAAAGAAGUUAUAAUAAAAUACUAGUCUAUAAAUAUAUUAUUUAUUUAUUUUUGUUUUUUUGAAAAAGUGGGCUCCACUGAGAAAACUCGUGUGGGGGCCCAGGAGUUCUAAAUAACAUUAUAAGUACAUAAAUAUACUGUAUUAUUAAUAGUACAUUUACAGUAUAAUAUUAAGUAUAUAAAUAGUGACCAAUUCCAAAAUUAGUAUUUCACUUUUACACUAUUAGGCUAUUCUAUUAUCAAUUCAUCCAGAGAUUUCAAUUAAAUAAUAUAUAUAUUUUUUAAUAAUUGAAUUGGGAGAUUCAUAAUAUAAGACUACAAUAUUGCAUAAUUUAGGACAGAUUAAGUAUAAGAAAAUUCCUAUUAAUAAUUAUUUUUAAAUUUGUUUAUAAGAAAAAAUAUUAAGCAUAUAUUGUAUUAGCACCCUGCAAUUCCUGCUGUAGUAAAUUAUGACUUUUCAUAUAAAUAACAGUUAUUUUCAUACAUAUUUUGUUUAGUGGUAGUACUUUUUAAUAAAUAGAUUGUUCAUUAUCUUUGUACUUUAUUGAGCAGUUUUGAUUUUGAUAUUUUUGUGAUUGGGAUAUAUUUUUGUUAGAUUCACCACUCCCCCUUCCCAGCCAAUCAUACUAUUAUAUAUCAAUGAUUCUACUAACGCAAAAUAUACUUGGCACAAUGCUAUCACUUCAAGGACUUAGCAUUGCGCCAAGAAAUUUAAAUAAUCACUUUAAGGACUUUAU